Molecule: non-coding RNA, 9571 nt
Organism: Sus scrofa (pig)
Lineage: Eukaryota; Metazoa; Chordata; Mammalia; Artiodactyla; Suidae
Source: RefSeq, a predicted model, not a curated record
GUCACCCGGGAAACGGGACGCGAUCGCCUGCCCACCGACCGAAGCUAUUUUCAUGGCAGCCUCGAAGAAAGCUGUUUUGGGGCCGUUGGUGGGAGCAGUGGACCAGGGCACCAGCUCGACGCGCUUUUUGGUUUUCAAUUCAAAAACAGCCGAACUACUUAGUCAUCAUCAAGUGGAAAUAGAACAAAAAUUUCCAAAAGAAGGGUGGGUGGAACAAGACCCUAAGGAAAUCCUGCAGUCCGUCUAUGAGUGUAUAGAGAAAACGUGUGAGAAACUUGGUCAGCUCAAUAUUGAUAUUUCCAACAUAAAAGCUAUUGGUGUCAGUAACCAGAGGGAAACCACUGUGGUCUGGGACAAGUUAACUGGAGAACCCCUCUACAAUGCUGUGGUGUGGCUUGAUCUAAGAACCCAGUCUACCGUUGCGAACCUUAGUAAAAUCAUUCCAGUGAAUAAUAACUUUGUCAAGACCAAGACAGGCCUUCCACUCAGCACGUACUUCAGUGCAGUGAAGCUUCGUUGGCUCCUUGAUAAUGUGAGAAAAAUUCAAAAGGCAGUUGAAGAAGAUAGAGCUCUUUUUGGGACCAUUGAUUCCUGGCUUAUUUGGAGCUUGACAGGAGGAGCCAGGGGAGGUGUUCAUUGUACAGACGUAACAAAUGCAAGUAGGACGAUGCUAUUCAACAUUCAUUCUUUGGAAUGGGAUAAAGAGCUCUGUGAAUUUUUUGAAGUUCCAAUGAAAAUUCUGCCAAACGUCCGGAGUUCUUCUGAGAUCUAUGGCCUAAUGAAAGCUGGGGCCUUGGAAGGCGUGCCAAUAUCUGGGUGUUUGGGAGACCAGUCUGCUGCAUUGGUGGGACAGAUGUGCUUCCAGGAUGGACAGGCCAAAAACACGUAUGGAACAGGCUGUUUCUUACUAUGUAAUACAGGCCACAAGUGUGUGUUUUCUGAACAUGGCCUUCUGACCACAGUGGCUUACAAACUUGGCAGAGACAAACCAGUGUAUUAUGCAUUAGAAGGCUCAGUAGCUAUAGCUGGUGCUGUUGUUCGCUGGCUAAGAGACAAUCUUGGAAUUAUAAAGACCUCAGAGGAAAUUGAAAAACUUGCUAAAGAAGUAGGUACUUCUUAUGGCUGUUAUUUUGUCCCAGCCUUUUCAGGGCUAUAUGCACCUUACUGGGAGCCCAGUGCAAGAGGGAUCAUCUGUGGGCUCACUCAAUUCACCAAUAAAUGCCAUAUUGCUUUUGCUGCGUUAGAAGCUGUUUGUUUCCAAACCCGAGAGAUUUUGGAUGCCAUGAACCGUGACUGUGGAAUUCCACUCAGCCAUUUGCAGGUAGAUGGGGGAAUGACCAACAACAAAAUUCUUAUGCAGCUACAAGCAGACAUUCUGUAUAUCCCAGUAGUGAAGCCCUCAAUGCCAGAAACAACCGCCUUGGGAGCUGCCAUGGCAGCAGGGGCUGCAGAAGGAGUUGGCGUUUGGAGUCUCAAACCUGAGGAUUUAUCAGCUGUCACGAUGGAGCGGUUUGAACCUCAGAUCAAUGCUAAAGAAAGUGAAAUUCGUUAUUCCACAUGGAAGAAAGCUGUGAAGAAGUCCAUGGGUUGGGUUACAACUCAGUAUCCAGAAAAUGGUGACCCUAGUAUCUUCAGUAGCCUACCCUUGGGCUUUUUUAUAGUGAGUAGUAUGGUAAUGUUAAUUGGAGCAAGGUACCUCUCAGGCGUGGCAUAAAUAAUACCAAUUCAUGGAUUCCAAAGAUGCAGGCUCUUUACGCAGUGGGAAAAUCCAGAAGUUCUGUCUUUUAAUGUGAUGACACUAUUCAAAGACUCUGAUUUUAUUUAUGAGCCACUUGCUGCAUGACCCUCCAGGUAGACCUGCGGCUUGAAAUAAAGAAAAUGCGGCAGAAAAAAAAAAGUGAUUUCUCAAUUAGGAAAAAGUCAGCAAAUUUUGCACACAAAAAGUCACAACUCGCCCUGAACUACCCAGGCAAUUGUUUUAAUCUAACUUUCUAUUAAAAUGUUGAAGUAAAAAGGGGCACGGUGGGGGGAUGGGUAGUCAGCUCUGUUGUGUUGCUAGAGGGAAUCUGAAACAGAUUCCCUCUAGCAAUGAUCUGACAGCUCCCUGCCACUUGGUAUUGGUCAACUAUGCAGUAAGUAAGAUUUCUAAAGAAAAUGUAGUGGGUGCUCACAGAAUGAGGCACAAUUUAGGAUCUGUUUAACACAUCAUAAUUGAAAUUUUUCAGUGGCAAGUCUUUAAGGUAAAAGACUUGAACCCUAAACACAACUUGCAAGGAUCUGGUUGCUUACCACCAUUUUUGCCUCAUCUCCCUCCCAUUUCUUCCUUGUUCCCUGAACUCCCAUUAUAUUGGUCUUCUUUGAGCUUCAGCCACAGGACCUUUGCACAUGUGCCUCCCCUUUCUCGGACUAGAUUAACUAUUACAAUUAAAGUGUAGCUUCUUCAGUAACCCUUCAGUCUAAGUCCUACAACCUUCCCGUUCAUUCAUAGAAGGGUUUCAUUUUGCAAUUACACACCCAAUUGUGUGGUUAUUUUUCUUAUGUUUGUCUUGUCCCCAUAAUUUGUGCUCUCUGAGAGCAAAAUCAAUGAAUGGCUUGGUUACUGGGUGUAUCUCUAGAGCCCAGAAUGAUCCCGGGCUCGUGGGAGACAGUAAGUGUCCUUCGAAUGAAUAAGUGAAAGGUUUCCAGGAUUCGUGUAGGAAUCUGAGACACAAAACCGAGGAAGCCCCAGAGUUUGAGGGUGGGGUGGAGAACAGAGACCAAUAAACAGAUGGGUACCAUCCUGUGCUUCCUCCAUCUGGCGGGAGAUCCCUGAACAAACCCUUUCCUAGCUGCAGACUUUUGGAGGAAGAGGUGGGUUUAAGGGCGGAUGCUGAAGCUGAGCACACAGUAAUCGAUCAGCUGAACAAUUGUCAGAGCCGGGUGGAGAUCCCAGUUCUCUGGCGAGGUUGCAGGAACCUGCGUUGCCGGGUUGGGGCAGGCUGCCAGCUGACCCCGCUCUCUGUCUCCUGUGCCCAGCGCGGCACGCUCUCGCCAGCGCCUGGGCGCGCCAGCCAAUGCGUCCCAGGCGCCGCAGCUGCUCCCCCGCCUCGGCGCGUGUGAUUGGCGGCCCCCAGCCUCAGCUCCGGCGCGCCCUCCCACCCGAGACCAAGUCCAGUCCGCGCCCACUCCCGAGUCGCCGCAGACGCCGCCGUCUCCUCUGCGCCUCGGUGCCCCACACCGGGCGGGAAGGCCGCGCACACCCCGGAGUCGCCACAAAACAGCAAGGUCCCAGGCGGCCGCGCUCGGAGCCAUUCUCGCCUCGGCCGGGCCAUGAAGGUCGAGUUUGCGCCGCUCAACAUCCCGCUGGCGCGGCGGCUGCAGACCGCGGCGGUGCUGCAGUGGGUCCUGUCUUUCCUGCUGCUCGGUGUGCCUUGGAAUCAUUGUACUUCUGAUCAUAUACAACUACUGGUUCCUCUAUAUCCCUUAUUUGACCUGGCUUUACUUUGACUGGCAAACCCCAGAGCAAGGAGGCAGGAGAUCAGACUGGGUCAGAAGCUGGACCAUUUGGAGGUACUUUAAAGACUAUUUUCCAAUUCAGCUCGUCAAAACUUGGGACUUGGAUCCAAGUCACAACUACAUAUUUGGGUUUCACCCCCAUGGAGUGCUGGUCGUUGGCGCCUUUGGAAACUUUUGUACAAAUUACUCGGAAUUCAAGGAACUGUUUCCUGGCUUUACUGCCUAUCUCCACGUGCUUCCAUUUUGGUUCCGGUGCCCUUUCUUCCGAGAAUAUCUGAUGAGUAGUGGGCCAGUCUCAGUUUCUAAGAAAAGUGUGUCCCAUGUGCUACGAAAGAAGGAGGUGGGAACAUUUCCGUCAUCGUGCUUGGGGGGCAGAAGAAUCCCUGGAUGCCCAUCCCGGAAAGUUCACUCUGUUCAUCCGCCAGCGGAAGGGAUUUGUGAAAAUGGCCUUGACCCAUGGUGCUUAUUUGGUGCCCGUGUUUUCUUUUGGUGAAAAUGAGCUGUUUAAACAAAUUAGCAACCCUGAAGGCUCCUGGCUUCGAACUGUGCAGGAGAAACUACAGAAGAUCAUGGGGUUUGCUUUGCCACUGUUCCAUGCCAGAGGAAUUUUUCAAUACAAUUUUGGCCUGAUGCCCUAUAGGAAACCCAUCCAUACUGUUGUGGGCCGCCCCAUCCCUGUUCCUCAGACCCUGCACCCAACCUCAGAGCAGAUUGAAGAGUUGCAUCAGACCUACAUGGAGGAGCUAAGGAAAUUAUUUGAGGCGCACAAAGGGAAAUACGGUAUUCCAGAGCAUGAAACUCUCAUUUUUAGAUAACUCUUCUCUUAGACGCAUACAAGAGGGCUAGAGAACAUCGCUUUGCAAGAACAAAUAAUUUAAAUAAGUUACUUUUUUCUUUGACUGUGCAAUCAGAUUUGUAACUGAGAGAUAUUUUGUAUGGUGACAGAUGUUGGUUUUUGUCUGUGGUAACUAAAAAUCCGGUGGGCGACUGUAUGGUAAAGUUGGAGAUGAUUGCAGCCUUUUCAAAAGUCUUCUUUCUGGAGGAAGAUAAAACUUGUUUUACAAGUUAAGAAAAGGUUUAUAAUUAUACAUGUGCUUUAAAAAAAUGGCAGCUUCAAAAAAGAAUUAGACUCUUUUACUAAAUAUCACAAUAAUUUAAUGUGGUUUUGCUGAGUACAACAGCUGUUGUUUAGCACAGCUGGAACAUUUACGAAACAGUAUGUAAAAUAAUUUGCCAUGUAGAGCUAGAGGCAUUUUUUUUUUUUUCCUGCUUGAACAGACCACUCGUUAGCCAGUAAUAUGACUUUAAGACUUAGUUCAUUUGGUCCUUUAGGUCAUAUCAACCAAUGCAUUUUUACACAAUAUUACAGAGGUUUUUUUUUUUUGCCAUUUUGGAAAUGGACUGAAUCUACCGUAUGGAAACCCAUGUGGAGAGGACUAUGUCUUCUCUCUUCUAAUCAUAUUUAGAAAUACUCAUCCUUGUCAUUUUCUUAGAAAUACAUUCACUUACUACAGGCAAAGAGGUCUCUUGGAGGACAUGCUUUUGACAUGUUUAAGACUUGAAAUUCCAAAAGAUUUUCACGGUAAUAGAAAUGGUUUUAAUUUUCUUCCCUUAAGGCCUCUUCCGGUAAGGUGAGCUCUGAGAGAAAGUGCCCGCUCUAGUGAGAUGUGACUGGUUCAUGGCUGACACAGGUUACAUGAUUCUCCUGGGAACCAGAACGUUAGGUCCAAGAGAGCGUGAGUCUUCCCUUCUGUUCCCUGAUGUCCCCCAGGGCCUGGGUCAGCUCGUGACGCUUGGUAGACAUGAAAUAAGUCCUUGUUUCAUGAAUGUAUUCCUAGGUGAACACAUAAGCUUUGCCAGGAGGUGAUGUGUCUUUAAAGCUAUGCUAUAGGAUGCCACCAAUUCUAGGAAAAGACCCAUUUUGAGGAGAUAACUUGCUAGGGCUGAUGGUCCCAUGCCAGUACUUGACAAUGCCGCAGGUUAGUUUCUCAGGAGCAAGUCAGAAGGAGGUUGCUGAGACUCAGUCUCUAAGCCUUAGGUAAUUAAUUAUUCAAUAAGUAAGAGAAUGUCUAGUUUCCCAAUCAUCUCCUCCAUUCUCCAUAUCUGGGGGCAACUACCUUGAGUUGUUAUAACUUAUUGGUAAUAUGUGUUAAAGCCCCUGAUUUUUAAAACAUCAAGCCAUGGGCUAGAGCCCAAAUAGGGUUUAGCAACAGUAAAACAGACUCAUGCUGGGUAAUGUCUUGAGUAGAAAAGGAUUUCACACACAAAAAAGUGAACCUUCUCAAUUGUUCCAUAUAGGACUUUUUGGCCAGCAUCCCUCUGGCUUCAUGUUGUAGAGCAGUCCAGGAGUCCAUUGACCCAUGGCCUUAAAAAGACAAAAAAAAUUUUUUUUUUUUGGUCAAAGCAGGAAAUAGGACACAUUUUGGUAGAUGUGGCUAAUUUGACUAUAAGUCCUUUGGGGUAUUACUCAAUACCAAACAAAUGUAAAAGAAGCUCCACUUACAUAAAAUUAUACCCUAGCUGGUCACAAGACAGUAUUUCAGAAGACUCUGUGGCCCAGAUAACCACAGCAACUAAAGGCCUUUAUAUAAUUAUAAAACCCAUGAUUUUCAUUCCUUUGGAGCAGUUUAUGAAAAUCUCAUGACACAGUCUUUUCGCAGUUUCGCAAAGGUAUGACUUUUAAUCUCACACUCAGUAGUGUCAGGGCCUGACUGACCACUAACUUCCACUGCAUCACCUAGAAAACAGUGAAAGCCCAUAUAGGGUAAAGCAGAGGCACUGAAAAAUGCGAAAAGUUCUGCUCUGAUGAAUUUAUCUAGAAUUUUGCCAUUACAAAAUCUAGACAUCAGCAACUUUAAUUCUUGGCCUGCACAAAAUCUUAUUUUUAAGUACGUAUUAGGGAGUUUACCUCUUCCUUUCUUAGGGUCUCCAAAGGUCUAAAUCCAGCCAGGCCAAGAAGUCCUUUCAUACAUUUUUUUCUUUUUUUUGUAUCUUCUAGGGCUGCACCCGAGGCAUAUGGUGGUUCCCAGGCUAGGGGUCUAAUCAGAGCUACAGCUGCUGGCCUUCGCCAGAGCCACAGCAACUUGGGAUCUGAACCGCAUCUGCAACCUACACCACAGCUCAUGGCAAUGCCAGAUCCUUAACCCACUGAGCGAGGCCAGGGAUUGAACCCUCAAGCUCAUGGUUCCUAGUUGGAUUUGUUAACCACUGAGCCAUGAUGGGAACUCCCUAGAAGUCCUUUCAUAAACUCAAAGCAUCAGUUCCAUAUAGUCCUACAGGUUGCAAACGAAUGUUCUGAAUUUUUGCUGCAACAUAAACGUGAGUCAUGAAUUGCAUUUAGUAGUAUAUUUUGAUGGAGCUCUCCAUUUUAAAGGUUCUCUUCUAAUCUGUAAUUGCAUAUAAAAUUUAAACAGUAAAACAAUGACACCAAAACAACAACAAAAAUAACCUCAGAACACCGGGAGAGAAGCUGGGCCGGGAGAGAAAUUGUGCAUUUAUGCUGUCGGAUUUGGACAUUUCUUUCUCCUGUGUUUCCUUUGCACACUGGGUGCAGGCUGAGUCAUUUCCUUUGUCUUGCAGCUAGAAAUCUUGAAGUUGUCUCUACCCUGCCAGGUCUAUUACACUCACAAGAAAGCUGCAGCUUUGGUGCUUGGGAAAGCCAGCCAGUUUCGCUCUGACCCACGGGGAACCAGGAUGAGGGAUGUUUUGUGAUUUAUACAAACUCUUCACCAUGACCGUGAAAACAAUCAAAGUCUGUCUACUUCAGGGACAUCUGUGACUUUAUUGUGAGUGUCGGGUUAUGUGUAAAACCCCUACUUUCCUCAAGUUACACUUCUGUCCUGGGAAGCUCAGGAAGUGGAGUCUGGAUUCAUUGUCCUUAUUUCCAUAACUUUACCUUGAUUCCAAACUACCUCACUGGUGCAGAUCACCAAGUUUGUGAUAAAUACGAAAAUAAGUGUGGGGUGUGUUAACCUCUGUCUUCUUUUCCUCUAAAAUAAGAGACAGUAUUGAUGGGCUUUGUCAUUUGGUUGGUUUUUGCCAACAGCCCAAGGUUGCUCGUUCUCACAUUUGUUUUUAAAACUAAGUGAUAAAAUAUCUAUUUGUGGGGCUGGGAGAGUUCCUUCAAAUAGAAUUUGAGUAUCUUUUUAGAGGAGAAAAACCAGGCACCUUCAAAACAACCAGCUAGUUACUCUGGUUUGUCUAGGGUAGCAAACACAGCAGCAGUUCUUGAUGCUUGAAACAAAGGGAUUUCUCUAAUGCCUUAUAUUUUAGUUAUUUUAAUGGCUCCUUCCCAAACACCUUCAGCUUGGUGCCUUACUAUCUUAUAUAAGAAGAAAGUUGAUCUCAAUCCAUAGAUCAGUCAUGGGAUGGUGAGUUCCUCCUGGCAGAAUCGCUGUCUUGUGUGAGUUUUGAUCCUGGCCCCGAGAGGAUAGACUUUCAUGCCUCUCCAUGAAUGCUUGUGGCACUAACCUGGCAGUUUGAUGGACGGUGCCAUGGAAGCCAAAUUUGAGAGUCGGAAGGGAUGUCAUAGCCUGUCAGUUAUUCCUUCUGCUGAUGAAGCGGUUGAACCCCAGUGAGGUUUAAUAUGGAUUGGAACUAACUUCGUGUUAUAGAUUAAACAGGAGGUCCUGCUCUCCCAUGACUGUUGAUUAAUCAACCAACAAUCCUCCUAUAAAGCGAAAGUAUCAAAAACAGAGUACAAUAAAAAACAACACGUAAGGCAGCAAACUCUGUAUUAUUGAGAUUGAGGCUAUUUUUCUUUCUUGAGAUCAGUACACGGCAUUGUUGAUUUUCCCUUAUGCAAGAGCUAUUUUGGGGAUACAGCCUGGGCAAAGUCCAAGAUUCCAACAACACGCUUAGCCACUGAAGCCUUAUAUAUCAGAGCAGCAGGGUAGGGCAAGGUGCCUCCUGCCUAGGGAGAGUGACAGACCUUGCCAGAGUCUUUCCUCUCAGCUGUGUUGCUAUCAUUAAUGUCACCAAAGUAACCCCACUACUCAUACAAAGGUGCAAGCAGAGCUUCUGUCACCUAUGGACAGCCCCAAGUCCAGAGACAUUCUGGAUCCAGCCUUAUUUAGUUGCAUUGUCAUAGCUGCUUUAAAAAAUUUUUUAAAAUAGCUCUUAGAUUCUGGUUAAGAAUGAUCUUAGGCUCUCUUGAGAAUAAAGAUAAAUCUUCCUUUUGUUGUAUUCCCAAGGAGUGUGUGUUUCUUUCCUAUUCCAUUUGCAGACCAACUUGGAGCCUGGUAGGAUUUCUUCUUUUUUUGUUGUUGUUGUUGGUCUUUUUAGGGUCACACAUGUAGCAUAUGGAAAUUCCCAGGCUAGGGAUCUAAUUGGAGCUGCAGCUGCCUGCCUACACCACAGCCACAGCAAUGCUGGAUCCAAGUCGCAUCUGCAACAUACUACAGCUCAUGGUGAAGCUGGAUCCUUAACCCACUGAAGGAGACCAGGGAUCGAACCUACAUCCUCAUGGAUGGGUUCAUUACUGCUGAACCAUGACAGGAACUCCUCUGGUUGGAUUUUAAACCCUCUUUUAUGGGUUGACACGACCAGAGAAAACUCCAGCCUUUUCUACUUCUCAGGCUUCUGUGUUCAAAUCAUCCUUCAGCCUCUGGACUUGCCCUAACUGGCCCAGUGACCUGGACCCAGGGGCUUCCUACGUAAAUAGAGUUAGGAGUGAACCGUCUCCAAGAUUUCUUCUGGCUCUGUCUCUAUGGUCACUGCCUGGCUUUUUCUGCCAUGGUAAUGACAUCUGGCUGGAGAUUUAUCUGGUGACUUUUCCUUUUCCUGUACCCUCCUCACUCGUGUUCCUCCAAGACAUGCAGUGAGUUCAAAUGAUUAUCUGACUUUCUUGGUAUUUUUCUAAGGAAAUAACUUACAUCUCUAAGUAAAAAUAGAAAAUUCUCCAAGAGCCUGCCUCCUUUAUAGUAUUCAAAACUAAGGAAUAACCGUUUGAUACUUGUUAACCUCUUUGUAGGAGAUGGUGGUGAAGUUUUCUGUUUUCUAUAUUGUAUGUGUGGCUGUGCACUUUUUGAAAGCUCUCGGUUUGUAAAGUUUUGACCAAUAAAUGUGUUCUGCGCCC